UAAAGAAUCGCCAUUACAGAUUAAAUCAGCACCACUGCCACCAGAACCCAAGGAAGAGACUAAAGAAUCGCCAUUACAGCCAGAAGCUACGCCUAAACAAUCACCAUUUCAGCCAGAAGCUACGCCUAAACAAUCACCAUUUCAGCCAGAAGCUACGCCUAAACAAUCACCAUUUCAGCCAGAAGCUACGCCUAAACAAUCACCAUUACAGCCAGAACACGAGGAGGAGACUGGACCAGCUAAGGAGGAGACUCAUCAAGUACCAUCACCCCCAAAGCCAAAGGAAGAGACCGAAUCAUCAGAGGUCUCUUAUCACAGGGAAGACAGUACACCAGCACAGC
This 341-nucleotide long non-coding RNA is filed under the name Manihot esculenta (cassava). Its description in RNAcentral is "long non-coding RNA (MESC_LNC004387)". Lineage: Eukaryota; Viridiplantae; Streptophyta; Magnoliopsida; Malpighiales; Euphorbiaceae. The record is from RNAcentral.